GGUUACUGCUAUCAGGGUUUGAUUAAGCCAUGCAAGUUAUGUGUUUUUUGUAAACACGGCGAACUGCUCGGUAACACGCGGAUAAUCUGCCCUCAGGUUUGGGAUAACCCUGGGAAACUGGGGAUAAUACCAAAUGUUUCAGGGUUGCUGGAAUGCUCUUUGAUUGAAAGCUUCGGUGCCUGAGGAUGAGUCUGUGGCCUAUCAGGUUGUAGUGGGUGUAAUGUACCUACUAGCCAGCGACGGGUACGGGUUGUGAGAGCAAGAGCCCGGAGAUGGAUUCUGAGACAUGAAUCCAGGCCCUACGGGGUGCAGCAGGCGCGAAACCUUUACAAUGCGCGAAAGCGCGAUAAGGAGACCCUGAGUGCUAGCACAUAGUGCUGGCUGUCCAGCUGUUUAAAAAGCAGUUGUUAGCAAGGGCCGGGCAAGACCGGUGCCAGCCGCCGCGGUAACACCGGCGGCCCGAGUGGUAACCGAUUUUAUUGGGCUUAAAGCGUUCGUAGCCGGUUUAGUAAGUUUCUUAGGAAAUCUAGCAGCUUAACUGUUAGACGUCUAAGAGAUACUGCUAUGACUUGGGACCGGGAGAGGUAGGAGGUACUCCAAGGGUAGGGGUGAAAUCUUGUAAUCCUUGGGGGACCAUCGAUGGCGAAGGCAUCCUACCAGAACGGGUUCGACGGUGAGGGACGAAAGCUGGGGGCACAAACCGGAUUAGAUACCCGGGUAGUCCCAGCUGUAAACGAUGCUCGCUAGGUGUCAGAUACGGUGCGUCCGUAUUUGGUGCCGUAGGGAAACCGUGAAGCGAGCCGCCUGGGAAGUACGGUCGCAAGGCUGGAACUUAA
RNAcentral lists this ribosomal RNA (836 nucleotides) under uncultured archaeon. RNAcentral's name for it is "bacterial SSU rRNA". It matches the Rfam family "Archaeal small subunit ribosomal RNA", at positions 21 to 859 of the family's 1478-position model. The record is from RNAcentral.